Molecule: long non-coding RNA, 1960 nt
Organism: Anser brachyrhynchus (Pink-footed goose)
Lineage: Eukaryota; Metazoa; Chordata; Aves; Anseriformes; Anatidae
Source: Ensembl
GCUGGUAUCUCUGCCUUCCUAUCAGCGCGAUUCCAUUGGGUGAGCAGGGGCAGGCUAUGCUACGGUCAUGAAUUGUGGCCCAAUAGAAGGAUCAUCAAGAUGAGUGCAAUCUCAUUCAUGGCCCAUAAACCAGCAGAGGAGAAGCUCUUCAUUUUCUAAUUGAUGCCAGUUCUGAGAUCAAGCCAGAAAACCCAAUAUCAUGGAGCAACAUUGAAUGCAUGUGCACGCACAUGUGUGUAUGUGUAUGCAAAACCAGUCAGACACAGUAAUGGAAUUUUACUGGACAGGAAACAAACUUUCCUGGUCUUUUUGCUUUCUGAUUCAUCUGGGAAAUGCAAACCUAAGAGUGCUUCCAGCAAGAUGUGUUAAAUCACAAUACAGAGUUACUAUUAUAACUACAGUUGAUAAUCUGCUGUGCCUGCAAGAACUUUGCCAAGCUGGGAGCACAAAGCAGAACUCUUCACACCAAGACCUGAACUGUCCCCAGAGGACCACACAGAGCUAUGCCCUUGGCUCCUGGAGAACCACAGCAGCUCCAAGUCCUACUGACGACGGAGCAUCUAAUUCUGGUAGAUGGACAUCUCAGUGGCACCAGAUGACUGUGCACUAUUGCCUCGAGGUCAUUGAUAUGUGCAAACCAUGGCCCAGACUGACUUUCCUUUCCCCUGGGGAGGGAAGGGUUCCCUCUCCUCUCUCAAGAGCCAGCAGGACUAGUUAUGAAAAACAGUGCUCAGUAACAUAGCUCAAACUUGGCUGGUGGGUGUUGGGCUUUCAAAUUCCAGCCCCCAGUGGAUUACUUCCCUAAGCACAGGAGGGAAAGCCAUGGAUGGAUUAUUUCUUGGCAAACACUGACUUUAGCUAGAGAAACCAAAGGGGAAAAUAUUUAAGAAAUUAUUUUCUUUUCCCUCUGUGCCUGACCGCUUUCUUGCCUUCGUGAGAUUCAAUUUCUAUAGCUGAGCUCCAAUUUUCAGCUCUGUGCCUCCUCUCUGAACUAAAGAUUGAAUUUAGUGUGAUAGAAUUGCUGAAGAAAGAUUGACCUACCUAAUUCAGAUCUUGGUCUACGUUCAUGCUUCAUCCUGCUUGUGUGUUUGGAGGUAGCUUUGUAGCUGAAAUGCCUGGACAAUUUUGAUUGUCAGCGUGCAGUUCAAGAGGCUUCUUGCUCCUCACCAGUCUUUUUCCCACUUCCUAAACCCGACUGCAGUUAGGAUAUUUAUUGUGUAUGUUCUUCCAUUGGGCAACUGCUCCUAACUAAAAAGCCUUUUUUCUCAACAACAUCAUACCUUCCCAAACAAGGAAGGCUUGAGGUUGCUGCAGGUCCAGAGAGAUGGCUCUAGGCAGAGAUGGAAACACUAAUGGGGCCCUCCAUUUUAUCCCUAUUCCCUUGCUUCACCUGCUUUUAGUUUCUUGAAUGCCAGACUGAAUGAUGCACCCACCUUGUUCAUGUUCCAUCCCUCUCCAAACUGACGGGGGAAGCAGCAAGUGAAGCUAUGGCCCACUCUCUGCUUUUCUGUAACGUAGAGUUUUCAGUGACUGAUGCCGUGGCUGGCUAGGAUCAGCUUUACCUAUCAAGGCAUCCUUUGAAAAAGGGACUUCAUAAAUCAUUCAGCCAUCACCAUCCUGAUAGCGCUCCCACAUCCUGACCACAGGGCAGCAGCACAGCAGCUCAGGCUGCACAGAACGUCUUUAUUCAGGGGGUUGUUUUCAUUUCUUUGGGCUGCCAAUAUCCUGUAACAUUUCAGCAGCCAAAGAACUAUUUGUUCUUGGGCACUACUUUCUGAACAGGGAAUCAGUCAAGUACAUUUGCAUGGUUAAAUUUCAGUGACUUUUUGUUUGUUUGUUUAAGCUCUGAUCCCCUCCAGGUUUUGAAAAUUCACUUUUUCCCUGCGUUUAGUAGAGCCUGAUUUCUUCCAUCCCCCAAAAAUCCUAAUGAAGUUUAAAAUAAACCUCCCCUUUCAAUCCA